This is a long non-coding RNA of Neofelis nebulosa (Clouded leopard), 1259 nucleotides long. RefSeq lists it as uncharacterized. NCBI's taxonomy places the organism in Eukaryota, Metazoa, Chordata, Mammalia, Carnivora, Felidae. The transcript has 2 exons. The record is from RefSeq and is a predicted model, not a curated record.
UGCAGUGUGAACGGGGGAGAGAAUGCUGGGGGGGGGGUGGUUCAGGAGGGGAAGCGGAGGUGAAGAAGGACCGGGAAGGAGGAUGGAGAGGUGCUCCCCCAAGAGCAGCGGCCAGGGGGCCUCGGCGGCUGUGCCCCUGGGGCGUGGGCUCCACCCAGAGGUCGUCUCGGGUCACUGCAUGCACAGGGCCCCUGCUGCCCAGGCUGGGGAGUCACAGGCCCAGGACGGCAGGUGUACGAUGUCCCCCUUUAAGGAUGAGGAGAAUAAGGCUCAGAAAGGUGAAAGGAACUUCCUCACUUUCGUAAAAACGAAACAGCACAGCUGGGGACAGACCCGAGGUCCCCUCCGUGAGGCCAGUUUACACACACGGGAGGCCCGGGGUUGGGCGCGGGUGGGCGGGCUCUGAGUGGGGGAAGGGCUCCCAGAGGGUGGGUUUCUGGCAAGCGCCCUCGCUCGCCCGCCCCACUUGGUGAAAGCUUCCCUGCCUUCCAGCGUCCACCCUGGUGCCAGAACUCCAAGAGCAGAGUUGAACAAACACGGUCUUCUGUCCCCAGGAUUUCCCACCGGACGAUGUAAAAUCCCAGAUCCCGGCAAUAAUUUUAGCGACGAUAAUAGACCUACUUUUACAUGCUCUUUCUUUAUGGUCCCCCCCGGCCCCCAGCAAUCUUCUCCGGGCCCUGUAGCAGGAGCCCCCCCCACCCAAUGUCCUCGCAGCCACCGCAGCCUCCCCUUCCUUCUCCAUGACCCGACCUGGUGCCACCAAGGUGCCCUUGUUGUGUUCUGCAGGCAUUUUGAGUUCGGACCAGGCGGUCCGUCACUGGUGUUUUGAAUUUGGAGUCGGGCAUCCUGAUGUUCGGAGAGUUUAAAUGACACGGCCACCGUGCGCCCUCCCCGUCCCAGUCUGCCUGCCCCGUCCUCAGACGCGUUGCACUCUGGAGACCUUGGGACGAAGAGGUCCCGGCACCCACAGCUGCUGCCACUCGCACGUGGCCUGGCCCCCAGCUCACCCCUCAGAAGAGGCAGACGUCUCCGUGUGUCCUGUGUCUGGAGCCUCCGUGAGGUUGAAGCCUGAGGCAGCCGGCGGGCCCUCCCCACGCCUCCUCUGUGCACCUGGAGCAUGACAGGACGGGCGUUGUUGCCCUGUGGUUCUGAGGAACGGAGGGGCCCGGCGUUGGGUCUUCCUGGCCUUCCCGGGUGGGAUCGGGGAGCACUUCAGCGCCGAGCGGUCACCUCGAAUAAAUGCCGGCAUGUUUCGUGAA